AGAUUGAACGCUGGCGGCAGGCCUAACACAUGCAAGUCGAGCGGUAGAGAGGUGCUUGCAUCUCUUGAGAGCGGCGGACGGGUGAGUAAUGCCUAGGAAUCUGCCUAGUGGUGGGGGAUAACGUUCGGAAACGGACGCUAAUACCGCAUACGUCCUAACGGGAGAAAGCGGGGGACCUU
This 179-nucleotide ribosomal RNA is filed under the name uncultured soil bacterium. Its description in RNAcentral is "partial 16S ribosomal RNA". It matches the Rfam family "Bacterial small subunit ribosomal RNA", at positions 26 to 211 of the family's 1533-position model. The record is from RNAcentral.